UACGGAGGGUGCAAGCGUUAUCCGGAUUUACUGGGUUUAAAGGGUGCGUAGGUGGGUAGGUAAGUCAGUGGUGAAAUCUCCGGGCUUAACCCGGAAACUGCCAUUGAUACUAUUUAUCUUGAAUAUCCUGGAGGUGAGCGGAAUAUGUCAUGUAGCGGUGAAAUGCUUAGAUAUGACAUAGAACACCAAUUGCGAAGGCAGCUCACUACGGGAUCAUUGACACUGAGGCACGAAAGCGUGGGGAUCAAACAGG
Molecule: ribosomal RNA, 253 nt
Filed under: uncultured bacterium
Lineage: Bacteria
Description: partial 16S ribosomal RNA
Rfam family: Bacterial small subunit ribosomal RNA
Source: RNAcentral